CUAAAACAUUGGACUCAUUCCUAUUUCUUUCGUCUUUCUAAGGCUGUGGCCCCUGCCUGGAAUGCCCUCCCUUGCCAGUGCUUAGUCAUGCCCCCCAGAGUUCCGAGUUAACUUCUUGUGUGUACAGCUUUUGCCUUCCCAGCUCAUACUCAGUGCUGGGCUGGUCCUGCAAUCUGCGUUCUUGGUUUUGAAGAGCUUCUUUAUUAGACUUACACUGUUUUUAAAGCUUCGUUAUUUGACCCUGUGGCAGAAAACUAUGGAAUCCAAGCUGUGGACCCUUUAUUCAGCCACUGUGUACCAGGAACAUGCUUACCCUAUCAGGCACACGUUCUGCCUCCAAGAAGCUGGAAGUGGGGCCACCGGGAUGGUGUUUGCCCUUCCCUGCCCUGCUGCACGUGGUAGAAACAGAAGCGUGUCAGUACAGCUGAGCCCUCCUGAUCCCUCUUGGCUGCACAGACCCGGCUCCACUUCUGUCCUUCUUUUACUGGAGAACUGAUGUCAGCCCGGCUGGAUUACAGCCCGGCGACCGUUCUGUUGCUAAUGAAUUGGCAGGGAGAACAAAACACUGCAGCGCUCCUGGAACGAUUUUGUCAUCCAUUUUUGGAGCACAAAAAACUUCGGGAUUUGGAAAAGAACAAAUGUCAUCUGAGUUGGUUUAUUUGCCUCAGGAUGUCAGGAUCCCCAGUUCACCACACCCUGAAUGUUUAUCUGAUUACAAGAACUCAUGCAAAUGACAAAAGGUUAAAGGGAAAAACUCCACCCUUGCAGCAUUUCCCUACAUGUUUCCCGCCCUCCAGGAUUGGCCGGCCGGCCUGGCUCAGGAAAAUUCUUAUAUUUACAGUCUUGUGAAUAGAGGGGCUAGGCUUGGCAGCUUCAAAAGGCUGAGGGAAUCUUGCAAAGUUGAGCUUGAAAGAGCCCUCAAGGAGCAUUAAGGCCCACAUUCUCCACUGAAGAUGAGAAACUAAAGCCAGAGAGAUGGCCUGGUGUUAUGGUUGAAUUGUGUCUCCCCAAAAUUCAUUUAUUGACAUCCUAAUGCCCAAAAUCUCAGAAUGUAACCUUAUUUGAAGACAGGGUCUUUACAAGGUAUAAGUUCAAGUUAGGUUAUCGGGGUGCGUCCUAAUUCAGUAUGACUGGCGUCCUUAGAAGAAGGAGAAAUAUGGACAGAGAGACACAUAUACAGGAAGAAUGCCAUGUGAACACGAAGACGGCCAUCUAAAGCCAAGGAGAGAGGCUGGGAACAGAGCCUCCCCUCACAGCUCUCAGAAGGAAACAGCCCUGCUAACAGUUUGAUUUCGGACUUCUCGUUUCCAGAACGAUAUUUCCUGAGUUCCCACCUGUGUCUGACCAGGUACAGGUUUAAGGUAACACAGGAACCAAAACACUGAGAGCAGGAGAGAGGAGCGAGGAACACGCGGCAGCUUCUGCGCAGGUGAGGCGUGCGCGCUGGGCACGGCGGUUUGGCCCUCUCCACGCACCAUGGAGCCUCGUGACGUCGCUCAGGACUGAGAACCACUGGAACCUCUCCAAAUCUUAGCUUUUUUCUCAGAGAACCCCCUUGAGUUAACUUGAUAAACUAAAACAAUUUUUGCAGCAGGCUAAAUCGGAUCAACCGUAGAGCAUUAAUCACGCUACAGUGAUGAGGCGAAAAGUCCUUAGACACGAAGGAACCAAGAGAACGAUUUGUAAAGGACUUAGAAAAACUACAAAAUAUACCUUCACUAAGAUUUCCGAUCAGGAUUCAGAGUAGCAGGGCUGUCUGAGAUGAUUUAGACUUGGCCUUUGCAUAAUAAACAAUUAAAGGAAAUCUCAAAAUAACCAGUAAAUGUGAAAAAAAAAAAAAAAUCUCACUUGUAACCAAAGAGGCUCUUAGUGUUCCAUGAGAGAGUUGUCACCUAAACUUGACCUUUGGGCUCAGUCUGAGGCCUGGAAGGUGCUGGGCCCGGUGGACCGAGAUUAGAAUUGUUUUGUGGGGGCACUGUUUACUGCUGUGCCUUGAGAAAUGGCCUGACCAGAGGAUCCAUUCACGUACCUUCUUGUGGGUCCCAGGGCUGCCUGGUCCAGGUAAGCCGUCCCAGUUGGGCCUCCUCCCUCAGUGCUUCAGAGAUGCUGUCCACUGGUCCUGCCAUCACAUGGAAUGGUGUUUCCCUAAUACGGCACACCCAGCAUCACCUUGGACAUUCAUAGCCUUAGGAAAUUCCUGGAAAACUGACAGGAAAGGGAGGGGAAACUGUUUCCCAUUUGCUGCUGUGGUUUGUAAGUUGGUGAGCGGGAUGGUUAAUUUUGUGUCAACUUGGCUAGGCCGUGGUAUCCAGAUAUUUGGUUAAACUUGGUCUGGUUGCUAUGAAGGAAUUUUUCAGAUGAGAUUAACACUUAAAUCAACAGAUUUUGAGUAAAGCAGAUCACCCUCCAUAAUGUGGGUGGGCUUCAUCCAGUCACUUGAGGGCCUUAAGAAAAAGUCUGACAUCCCCUGAGGAAGAGAGAAUUCUGCCAGCAGACUGCCUUCAGGCUCUGAAGUCACAACAUCAACUCUUUGCUGGGUCUUCAGCCUUCAAGCCUGCCCUACAGAUUUUGGACUUGCCAGCCUCUACAAAAAUGAACCAAUUCCUUAAAAUAAACCUCUCUCUUAUUGGUUCUGUUUCUCUGGAGAAUCCUGGCUACUACAGUGAAUAAAGAGCUUAAGUAACCCUACUUUGGGCAUAGACUGAGGCGAGAACUGGGGAGUAGAUAUCUCUACUACUUUUUAUUUGCAUACAUGUAAGAUGGUUUUGUCAAUCAAAUUAGGACUAAAUAGUCCUGAUUUGUGUCAUAUAAUUAAAUACACCAAUAUUUUGUGUUUCGAUGAUCUCCAGAUGUUUUACCACCCACACUCACUUGAAAACCAGUCAUCCGAUUGUACAAGGGAGAUGAGAAUUCUUUUCCCAACCCACUGCCAUGGUUCUCUUCUUAAGCUAAAAAGGCCCUCAGUAGAAGAGGUCUGAUCAAUUUUAUGAAGUAUUUUCGGGAAUGUAAUGAUAUAAUCCUAAAACUGAGCAUUUGUACAGUGUAUCACAAUUUAAUAAAGUGCUUUCAUGUAUAGUGUUCUAAAUUCUUCUAAAUAACUAUAUGAGUUAGGUAACAGACGUAUGAUUAUAACUCCCUCUAUUUUGCAAAAGAAGAAACUGAGGAUCAAGAAGUUAAGCAUGUACAUGUUAUACAACUGGUCUAUUCAGUGAGUCUGCGGCAAAGCCAGG
This 3230-nucleotide long non-coding RNA is filed under the name Equus asinus (donkey). RNAcentral describes it as "lncRNA (ENSEASG00005034571.1)". The record is from RNAcentral. Lineage: Eukaryota; Metazoa; Chordata; Mammalia; Perissodactyla; Equidae.